RNAcentral lists this small RNA (80 nucleotides) under Salmonella enterica. RNAcentral describes it as "partial RtT sRNA". It matches the Rfam family "RtT RNA", at positions 52 to 130 of the family's 130-position model. Rfam says of the family: This family represents a bacterial cis-regulatory element known as RtT RNA. The record is from RNAcentral. Lineage: Bacteria; Pseudomonadati; Pseudomonadota; Gammaproteobacteria; Enterobacterales; Enterobacteriaceae.
GCGCAGCGAGAAAGCGUUGCCGCAGGCAACGACCCGAAGGGCGAAGCGCGCAGCGCUGAGUCAUCCUUCCCCCAUAGGCA